UUUUUUUUCAAUAAAAAAAUAAAAUUAGAUCUAUUUCACAUUUUCACGGGUACGCCGUGACUCCUUCCUCUCUCUAUCCUCCCAGAAGGCCAGAACACAGACCACGGCUUCCUCUCUCUCUCUCUCUCUCUCUCCUCCAUUGAAGCGUACUCGAAAUUCUCCAUAAAAGGGGCUUCUGAGCUUUCUCUCCUCCAUUGAAGCAGUCUCUAAGGCUAAAUUUUUGGUUGUUUUGAUAAUUGUACCAUGGGCAAUGGAUUUUCUUGUGCACGACUAUGUUCUUAUGCCUUUCUUAGACAGGUAAAUGUUUGUCUACGAUGCUUUUAGCUUGGCCUAUUAUGAUUACACCUCAAAUCAUUGCUUUUUGUGUGUCGUUCAUCGUUUAAAAAAUCGGCAUGGCUGCAUUACCUUGUCAAACUUGAAAUGGUUAGAGAGUGUGCCUUAUUGAUGGAUGAAGUUGUAAACUUAGGAUGUUUUAAGCUAUUUGGAGAGAAGUAUACUUAUUUAUGAAUAUAUUAUUUGUAAUGAAUAUUUCAGGCUAGCAUCUGCCUUUCCUUUUUUGGUUUUUCCUCACAUAUUUGUUGGAAUGCCUUAGUUUGAAAUAAAUUCUCAAAUACAUACACACUAAACAGUACAAAUAGAGGAUAUGUAUUGUCCAAUGAUAAUUUAAAAGCACAUUAGUGGUUAAAGCUCCUUAGCUUCAGAGGCAAGAAAUACCUCAACUACAUGCUUCAGAUUGUAUUUUUUUCUUAUGAAAUGAACUUUUUUAUGUAUUUUUUUUUGUUCA
This is a long non-coding RNA of Chenopodium quinoa (quinoa), 784 nucleotides long. RefSeq lists it as uncharacterized. The record is from RefSeq and is a predicted model, not a curated record. Lineage: Eukaryota; Viridiplantae; Streptophyta; Magnoliopsida; Caryophyllales; Amaranthaceae. The transcript is spliced from 2 exons.